RNAcentral lists this ribosomal RNA (290 nucleotides) under uncultured bacterium. RNAcentral describes it as "partial 16S ribosomal RNA". It matches the Rfam family "Bacterial small subunit ribosomal RNA", at positions 773 to 1060 of the family's 1533-position model. The record is from RNAcentral.
GUGGAUUAGUUACCCUGGUAGUCCACGCCUUAAACGAUGGAUGCUAGCCGUCAGCAAGCAUGCUUGUUGGUGGCGCAGCUAACGCAUUAAGCAUCCCGCCUGGGGAGUACGGCCGCAAGGUUAAAACUCAAAGGAAUUGACGGGGGCCCGCACAAGCGGUGGAGCAUGUGGUUUAAUUCGACGCAACGCGAAGAACCUUACCAGUCCUUGACAUUCUCCGGGCGGUUUCCAGAAAUGGAUUCCUCCUAGCAAUAGGUCGGAGAACAGGUGCUGCAUGGUCGUCGACAGCU